RNAcentral lists this long non-coding RNA (246 nucleotides) under Bos taurus (domestic cattle). Its description in RNAcentral is "long non-coding RNA NONBTAT015220". The record is from RNAcentral. Lineage: Eukaryota; Metazoa; Chordata; Mammalia; Artiodactyla; Bovidae.
GUGAUACCCAUUUAUAUCUGAAUCUAUUUAUAUUUAUUUAUCCAUUUUGGAUCUAUUUGUAUUUGAAAAACAUGAAAAGACAAACUAUAAAAAAAAAAUUUUUUGACAGUUACCUGUAAGGAGAGUGAAGGACUAGGAUGCAGUGAAUAGGAAUAUGAAUAGACUCUGUAAUUCCUGUUGCUUUAGUUUUAACUUACAUUAAACCUAUAUAAAGAGUUCCUAAGUUAAGAAAAAGUUCCUUCAGUA